This is a long non-coding RNA of Papaver somniferum (opium poppy), 1751 nucleotides long. RefSeq lists it as uncharacterized. The transcript has 4 exons. NCBI's taxonomy places the organism in Eukaryota, Viridiplantae, Streptophyta, Magnoliopsida, Ranunculales, Papaveraceae. The record is from RefSeq and is a predicted model, not a curated record.
UUCUCUUCUUCUUCUCUUUCUUCUGUUCUUCAUGUCUUUCGCCCUUUCGAAUUAAAUUCUAAUGAAUAGUUUCUUUUUGUGAGUGAUUCAUGUAAUCUUGAGAUCCAGAUAAAUCGAAGAAGAGGGUGAUGAAUCUGGAAGCUAAUUGAGCUCUGAAUGAAGAAGAAAUAGAAAUUAGGGUUUCUGCUAGAAUUGAAUAUGUUGUAUAUUUGGAAGAGGAGUUCGAAUUAGAAUAUGCAUAUGGAGAUUAGAGAUGGGUAUUGUGUGUUGAGAGUAAGGGAGGAGAUUUAGCUGCUGAUUCUCAACUCACAUGGAAGAAUUAGUGGGGUUUGUUGGUGCUGUAAAUUCGAUCAGUGAGGUGAGGAUGAACGGUGAGAAACCCAGAUGGAUAUGGUGAAUGGUGCAUUGCAAAACUACAUCGGAUCAAGUUUUGCAAUCCGCUUUUCAGAAACCAUUUGGUUGUAUUACUACCAGCAGGCCUUUUCUCUCCUUAAAUACAAUGUUUAAUACAUCAUUUUUUUGAUAUUUAAAUAUUCUAUCCUAUCGAGUUGGUAUUUAGUUCCAUUACAGGUGAAUGAACUAAAGCUAAUUGAUUCAGCUGACCCACAUUAGCAUUUAGCGGCUAGGGGUAGAAAAUUGAUCAUAUUCAUGGGUUAGCAUGAUAGAGAACUUCAGGUAAGUGGUGCAAUCCAUUUAUGAUAGGGUCUGAAUUCAAAUAAAAACCAAUUAGAUCACAUGGAUGGAUAACAAAUGUCUCUGUGUGAUCAUAUUAUCAUAACACACUAUAUUCCGUUUACAACUCAUUAAUGUUUAAGGUUUAAGGUUUAAGUGUACAAUAAUACACAAAUCAAUUUCAUCUUUCUGUCUUCAGUAGGUGUCAGCAGAUUGAGUAGCUAUUUUUAUUGGUUUUUGUGAAUUCCAGAUUAACACUGAUUGUGACGGUUAUGACUUAUGAUAUAUGCAGCAGGUCAUUUUUCUGGUGCUCAUAUGAAGCCUGCUGUCACCUGUGCAUUUGAACCUGUAAGGCCCUUCCAUGGGGUGCACAAUGAAUGAUGGAUGUUUUUAGUGAAGCACCAUCCUAUGCCAAUACUACUAUGAGGCUUGAGGCAGAGGGAAGCUGGAACAGUGUUGCUUUACUUGGAUCACAUGCAUCAGUACAGAUGAAAUAAGUAAUUGCAAAGAGGGUUCUAAUGAUUUGCAGGCUGCUUCUGUCUGAGUAAAACUCCAACACCAUUACAAGGAAGAUGUUUAUGUUUAAGGCCGGGGAUGUACGUUUAUGAAGUUACUCGCAGGACUAAUUCUACUUGAUGCAUUUCGGUAGAAGAAACAGUUUCUUCAAUUCUAGGUUGAGACAUAAAAGUGGUUGCUGAAGUGAACCACAGUGUAUAAUAUCUAAAAGGAUGAAAAAAUGGGGGACAACAACAGUAGCUGCACUUGGUAGAUUUUUAAAUCAUGCAAAGGCGAAAGAUGCAUUUUAUGUCUCCAUUCCAAAUGCUACUGCUUCAUGAAGAACAUGAUGAGUUUAUGACUCAACUCCUUCAUAUAUUGAGCUCCCCAAUUACCUCUUUUUAUAUUUCCCAUUUGGGCAGUGACUUCCUCCAAUUAUCUUUGUUGUAUCUUAUUUUGGUGUCUGCAAAUGUGUGACAUGGCCGGAAUAAACUCUAAACAGAAAUCUUAUGAAAAAGCAAGGAAGGUGAUCUAGAUUCAGUUGAAUUUAUAUGGGGAACUAAAGAGUGGACCUUUUUUUUUCU